This 197-nucleotide unclassified non-coding RNA is filed under the name plant metagenome. RNAcentral describes it as "partial contains 5.8S ribosomal RNA, internal transcribed spacer 2, and large subunit ribosomal RNA". The record is from RNAcentral.
AGGUUUCAGGAGGAGCAGCGGAUGAACGUGGACACGGUGGAGGAGUUGAAAGCGGCCUUCGAGGAGUGGCGGAGCCAGAAGAAGCAUUCGCGUGAGGCGAUACCGAGGGAGCUGCUGGACCGAACACGGCGAGCGAUUGACGUCCAUGGGUGGAGCGCCAUCCGGAAGGCGACGAGGGUUGAGGCUCGCCGCGUGGG